RNAcentral lists this ribosomal RNA (253 nucleotides) under uncultured bacterium. Its description in RNAcentral is "partial 16S ribosomal RNA". It matches the Rfam family "Bacterial small subunit ribosomal RNA", at positions 524 to 776 of the family's 1533-position model. The record is from RNAcentral.
GACGAACCGUGCGAACGUUGUUCGGAAUUACUGGGCGUAAAGGGCUCGUAGGCGGCCAAUUAAGUCAGACGUGAAAUCCCUCGGCUUAACCGGGGAACUGCGUCUGAUACUGGAUGGCUUGAAUCCGGGAGAGGGAUGCGGAAUUCCAGGUGUAGCGGUGAAAUGCGUAGAUAUCUGGAGGAACACCGGUGGCGAAGGCGGCAUCCUGGACCGGCAUUGACGCUGAGGAGCGAAAGCCAGGGGAGCAAACGGG